RNAcentral lists this ribosomal RNA (469 nucleotides) under uncultured bacterium. RNAcentral describes it as "partial 16S ribosomal RNA". It matches the Rfam family "Bacterial small subunit ribosomal RNA", at positions 28 to 508 of the family's 1533-position model. The record is from RNAcentral.
GACGAACGCUGGCGGCGUGCUUAACACAUGCAAGUCGAACGGAAAGGCCCUGCUUUUGUGGGGUGCUCGAGUGGCGAACGGGUGAGUAACACGUGAGUAACCUGCCCUUGACUUUGGGAUAACUUCAGGAAACUGGGGCUAAUACCGGAUAGGAGCUCCUGCUGCAUGGUGGGGGUUGGAAAGUUUCGGCGGUUGGGGAUGGACUCGCGGCUUAUCAGCUUGUUGGUGGGGUAGUGGCUUACCAAGGCUUUGACGGGUAGCCGGCCUGAGAGGGUGACCGGCCACAUUGGGACUGAGAUACGGCCCAGACUCCUACGGGAGGCAGCAGUGGGGAAUAUUGCACAAUGGGCGGGAGCCUGAUGCAGCAACGCCGCGUGCGGGAGGACGGCCUUCGGGUUGUAAACCGCUUUCGCCUGUGACGAAGCGUGAGUGACGGUAAUGGGUAAAGAAGCACCGGCUAACUACGUGC